AUUGAACGCUGGCGGCAGGCUUAACACAUGCAAGUCGAACGAUGAAACUCUAGCUUGCUAGAGAAGAUUAGUGGCGGACGGGUGAGUAACAUUUAGGAAUCUGCCUAGUAGUGGGGGAUAGCUCGGGGAAACUCGAAUUAAUACCGCAUACGACCUACGGGUGAAAGGGGGCGCAAGCUCUUGCUAUUAGAUGAGCCUAAAUCAGAUUAGCUAGUUGGUGGGGUAAAGGCCCACCAAGGCGACGAUCUGUAACUGGUCUGAGAGGAUGAUCAGUCACACCGGAACUGAGACACGGUCCGGACUCCUACGGAGGCAGCAGUGGGGAAUAUUGGACAAUGGGGGCAACCCUGAUCCAGCCAUGCCGCGUGUGUGAAGAAGGCCUUUUGGUUGUAAAGCACUUUAAGCAGGGAGGAGAGGCUAAUGGUUAACACCCAUUAGAUUAGACGUUACCUGCAGAAUAAGCACCGGCUAACUCU
This 476-nucleotide ribosomal RNA is filed under the name uncultured bacterium. RNAcentral's name for it is "bacterial SSU rRNA". It matches the Rfam family "Bacterial small subunit ribosomal RNA", at positions 30 to 504 of the family's 1533-position model. The record is from RNAcentral.